RNAcentral lists this ribosomal RNA (429 nucleotides) under Acidobacteriota bacterium. RNAcentral's name for it is "Acidobacteria bacterium partial 16S ribosomal RNA". It matches the Rfam family "Bacterial small subunit ribosomal RNA", at positions 355 to 776 of the family's 1533-position model. Lineage: Bacteria; Pseudomonadati; Acidobacteriota. The record is from RNAcentral.
UGGGGAAUUUUGGACAAUGGGGGAAACCCUGAUCCAGCCAUCCCGCGUGUGCGAUGAAGGCCUUCGGGUUGUAAAGCACUUUUGGCAGGAAAGAAACGUCAUGGGUUAAUACCCCGUGAAACUGACGGUACCUGCAGAAUAAGCACCGGCUAACUACGUGCCAGCAGCCGCGGUAAUACGUAGGGUGCAAGCGUUAAUCGGAAUUACUGGGCGUAAAGCGUGCGCAGGCGGUUCGGAAAGAAAGAUGUGAAAUCCCAGAGCUCAACUUUGGAACUGCAUUUUUAACUACCGGGCUAGAGUGUGUCAGAGGGAGGUGGAAUUCCGCGUGUAGCAGUGAAAUGCGUGGAUAUGCGGAGGAACACCGAUGGCGAAGGCAGCCUCCUGGGAUAACACUGACGCUCAUGCACGAAAGCGUGGGGGGCAAACAGG